Molecule: long non-coding RNA, 1801 nt
Organism: Canis lupus familiaris (dog)
Lineage: Eukaryota; Metazoa; Chordata; Mammalia; Carnivora; Canidae
Exons: 6
Source: RefSeq, a predicted model, not a curated record
CGUAGACACAGAACCUGCCCGCAUUCAAGCGGAGGCCUAUUGGCUUUAUUUCGCACGCCUGUCUCAGCUGGGUGCCAGGCUCAGAGCCCUCAGGCAUUGUGUCAUCACAGGGAACACAGGAGCAGGGGUUGCCUUGGAAACGUGCCACCCACAGGUCUUGCUCUACUCCAGAAAACCAUCACUUUGAGCUCCUUCAACCCCACCUGCGUUGGGCACUGCCCAUUCUUUGUACCCUGCGAUGGCCCCCGUGUCACACGUGGCACUUGUGAAGACUUCUUGACAUAACCGUCUUUCUUCUGAGACCUUGAGCACCCCCUGGACUGCUGGGGUUUGAUUCCUCUUGCGAAUAAAUAAAGUAGGACUUUGUGAAGAUGUUGCUCAAGCCACGUCUGAUGCUCUACGUCAAUUGAUUGUCAUUGGCCUGUAGAGAGGCCGUCUUCAGGAAACCAUUUGCACUCUAUUGGAUUGGGGAAAUGAUGUCCAACCUAAAUCAAGAGUUAACUAUGGAGAAGGAAACCAUUAUUAAACUCUAAGAAGAAUUAUGCCAAAACAAAGAACUCUACAACUUUAAGAGACUUCCCCUAAAGAAAGCCAGUGGCUGUCUUGUGAGCCCAGUGGAGCAGGAUGCAUGGUUUAGAGCUGAGGCUUCUUCUGACACAUCAUAAGGACUGAAGACGUGCAGCUAACAGCCAUGCGAGUGAGCCAUCCAACAUGCACGUCCUCCAGCCCCACUCAAGCCUUCAAAGCACCGCAGCCCCAGCUGACAACAUGAGGUACCCUGAGCCACAAAUGCUCAGCUCAGCCCCUGACGGAUUUCUGAGCCAUGGAAGCUGUGAGAGCGUGAAUGUGCGUUACUGCGAGAUGCUACAUUUUGUGUGCAUUUGUUACACGGCAUUGGAUGCCUGAGUAAUAUACAUACCAACGCCAUCUUCCACUGUGGGAACAAAAGGAAAAUAUGGAGACUAUGGCUGAGAUGAGAAGCAUCCAGUCCAAAAAUGUCGACAUGGUUUGACGCCGGCGUUGAAUGGGAUCAGUGUCAAGGACAUUGAUAGUACACUGCUAUGAUAUAUCUCAUUCCCUGGCAACUCGUCAGGGCAUUUGAUUCUGAAGUGGCCUGAAGGAGGUAGUGGAAGUGUGGGCUUGUGAGGCGAUUAUUUCAGUGGCUGAAUUAAACCAGACUCUUUUCAGAAGAAUUCAAAACGAACAUGGCUAAACAUGCAAAAUAAACACAGGAUCUUCAGACAUAACGACGUCUAGCUUUGAAGCAUGGUUUGAAGAUUUUCAUGAGGCCUUCCUUUCUACGUAUUCAAAUGCAAUACUACAACUCCAAGAUCAAUAGCAUAUUUGGCUAUCAAACCAGUCUUGCGAUAAACAGGAUUUCAGGGUCCAUCUGAAAUAGUCCUCCCCACUUCUGCCUUUCAAAGUAUUACAUGCUGACCUUCAAAGUCACAUGAUUUCGAAAUGCGACCAAAUCAUGGCCCUCGGCCCUUGCGGUGCUCCACUCUGAGAAUGGAUUACUGGGCAAUGUGCAUCCUCUUGGUUCAUCACACAAUUGUCUUCUGGCAGACCCUGCAUGUAAUUCACGCCUUCUUGGGAAGGCCUAACCCCAAGGAGAGUGCUGCGGAAGGCACUGCUUUGUCCUGAACCAGAACCCGGCAAAUCCAAGCACCCUUCUCUCUUCCUCACCAACAAUCAAGUUAUUCUUACAAAUAAAGGUUCGGCCUGGGUAUCGUUAAAGAUAACCUUUGUGCAAGUGAAGUCCGUCUUUCUCUCAACAUCAUCAGUAUUUGGGGAGGAGUGA